Molecule: non-coding RNA, 258 nt
Organism: Vicia faba (fava bean)
Lineage: Eukaryota; Viridiplantae; Streptophyta; Magnoliopsida; Fabales; Fabaceae
Source: the annotation of a GenBank genome assembly
AUGUAUCAAGACAUCAAAACAGAGGUCUGGACAGCAUGUACAUCACACAAAGAAUUACGCAAAAUGUCGGUCCAGAACCAACACAACUUGAUACACAUGUCUCAUAAUGAAAAAAAAAAUGCAAUGAAGCAUAAACCAACAAUUAAAACCAAUUUCAGAUGCAAUUUACAAAACGGGACAACACUAUACUUAUUUAAAGAAUUAACCCGAAAAAUAUAUCGGAAUCAAGCAAACGCAAUCACAAAGAUUCACGAAUGA